Molecule: non-coding RNA, 1003 nt
Filed under: Cercartetus caudatus (long-tailed pygmy possum)
Lineage: Eukaryota; Metazoa; Chordata; Mammalia; Diprotodontia; Burramyidae
Description: 12S ribosomal RNA
Rfam family: Bacterial small subunit ribosomal RNA
Source: RNAcentral
CAAAGGUUUGGUCCUGGCCUUACUGUUAAUUAUAAUUAGACCUACACAUGCAAGUUUCCGCUACCCAGUGAGAAUGCCCUAAAUAUUUUUAUCAAAUUGAUAGGAGCUGGUAUCAGGCACACCUCUGGUUGCCCAUUACACCUUGCUUAACCACACCCCCACGGGCUACAGCAGUGACUAACAUUGAGCCAUAAACGAAAGUUUGACUAAAUCAUAAUUACUCAGGGUUGGUAAAUUUCGUGCCAGCCACCGCGGUCAUACGAUUAACCCAAAUUAACAGAAAUCCGGCGUAAAGCGUGUUUAGGCAUUAUAACUACAAUAAAGCUAAGGUCCAACUAAGCUGUAACACGCUAUAGUUGACAUUAAAAUAUACAACUAAAGUGGCUUUAACUAUGCUGAAUACACGAUAGCUAAGAAACAAACUGGGAUUAGAUACCCCACUAUGCUUAGCCCUAAACUUAAAUAAUUUAUCCUAACAAAAUUAUUCGCCAGAGAACUACUAGCCAUAGCUUAAAACUCAAAGGACUUGGCGGUGCCCUAAACCCAUCUAGAGGAGCCUGUUCUAUAAUCGAUAAACCCCGAUACACCUCACCUCUUCUUGCCAAUACAGUCUAUAUACCGCCAUCGUCAGCAGACCCCAACAGGGUAGUGAAGUAAGCAAGAGUACUUGCCGUAAAAACGUUAGGUCAAGGUGUAGCAUAUGAAGAGGGAAGAAAUGGGCUACAUUUUCUACAUUAGAAUAUCAACGAACUAUCUUAUGAAACUUAAGAUAUCUGAAGGAGGAUUUAGUAGUAAAUCAAGAAUAGAGAGCUUGGUUGAAAUAGGCAAUAAGGCGCGCACACACCGCCCGUCACCCUCCUCGAUUACAUUCUAAAAAUUACUAAUACAUUUUACUUAAAAAAGAGGAGAAAAGUCGUAACAUGGUAAGUGUACUGGAAAGUGCACUUGGAAUAUGCUAAUCUAAGCCCUCUUAGUUAUUAUCAAAAUUAUCUUAACCAUUUAC